UACGUAGGGGGCAAGCGUUGUCCGGAUUUAUUGGGCGUAAAGAGCGUGUAGGCGGUUCGGUAGGUCCGUUGUGAAAACUCGAGGCUCAACCUCGAGACGCCGAUGGAAACCCCCGAACUAGAGUCCGGAAGAGGAGAGUGGAAUUCCCGGUGUAGCGGUGAAAUGCGCAGAUAUCGGGAAGAACACCCGUGGCGAAGGCGGCUCUCUGGCCCGGUACUGACGCUGAGGCGCGAAGGCGUGGGGAGCGAACGGG
This 253-nucleotide ribosomal RNA is filed under the name uncultured bacterium. RNAcentral's name for it is "partial 16S ribosomal RNA". It matches the Rfam family "Bacterial small subunit ribosomal RNA", at positions 524 to 776 of the family's 1533-position model. The record is from RNAcentral.